AUACUUUUCCAGUUCAUAAGAAUAAUGAUUGUCAUGUGUUUAUGUGUCAUAUGCAUGCCUUAAAUCUUGCUAUGACAUCAGCACUUGAUCCAUCUGAUG
Suncus etruscus (white-toothed pygmy shrew) is the source of this 99-nucleotide small nucleolar RNA. RefSeq annotates it as small nucleolar RNA U13. NCBI's taxonomy places the organism in Eukaryota, Metazoa, Chordata, Mammalia, Eulipotyphla, Soricidae. The record is from RefSeq and is a predicted model, not a curated record. The transcript has a single exon.